This 645-nucleotide long non-coding RNA is filed under the name Elaeis guineensis (African oil palm). RNAcentral describes it as "long non-coding RNA (EGUI_LNC011657)". The record is from RNAcentral. Lineage: Eukaryota; Viridiplantae; Streptophyta; Magnoliopsida; Arecales; Arecaceae.
UAGGACUCCUCAGUCUUCAUUGCGGCGGCAAACUCAGGGCACUCACCUCUCCAUGAGUUGAGGUCAUGCUAUGCUUCUACUGCUCGUCGAGUUCGUGCCGAUCCAUGCUGUCGGACCGUUUCAUGCUCUGCACAUACUCGGCAUAGUCUCCAAGGUUUCAACUGCUGGUUGUUGGACUCUGGGAUCCAGUCGGAGAACAAAUGACCGUAGAUGCCACCAUAAAGGACACCAAAGAUAGAGAGGCGGUGCAGAGGGCGGUGUUGGCAUUGUGGCGGCUUUGUGGUCGAUCUGACUACCGCCACCCACAUCGAAGAGGACGUUGAACACGUCUGGUUAGCUCGUGGUCUAUCCGAUCGCUGCCACCCAUGCUGGAGAGGGCGUUGAACAUGCCCAGGCAGUAGGAUUUUUUUUUUGGUGGUCUUCUCAAGCCCCAAGAGGAUAGGCUUUGGAGAUAGGAAAGCCCCUCCUUUUUCUUUUCUUCUCUUUUUUUUUUGAUCUCUGAGGUGGUGCUUUUAGAGUACUCCAAUCGAUCUUUUUUUUUUGUUUGAGGAUUGAGAUCGGUAGAGUAGGACCCCACUCCGAACUGAUCAAUCACACUUAUAUCGGCCUUGGCCAUGAGCAUCACCAUAAAUUUCAAUAAUGGAG